Papaver somniferum (opium poppy) is the source of this 1424-nucleotide long non-coding RNA. RefSeq lists it as uncharacterized. The record is from RefSeq and is a predicted model, not a curated record. The transcript is spliced from 6 exons. Lineage: Eukaryota; Viridiplantae; Streptophyta; Magnoliopsida; Ranunculales; Papaveraceae.
UUCCUCUUCUCCUUUCUCAUUUUUUUUUCUCUCUCUAAACUGCGCAUACCUCUUCAGUUCGUCCUUCUUCAAUCACAGAUCUACUCUUCAAUUGACUCCCAACAACUUCUCGUUAAUGGUAACAAAUAGAUAUACUGGAUGCAUCCAGAUUUGAUUACAGAGAAUACGAACUACCAUUCAAGAUGAGUUUCUUCCCUUUAUCUCUUCUUUAGAUUUUCUUGGAUCGAGAUCUGAUUUGGUUUAAAGAAGUAUUUGUCUGCUUGGAUUUUUUUUUUUUGAUGAUUUGUAGCUUUGAGUGCGGAAGAUUGUGAUGGACUUGCUAAAGCUUUAAAGGUUACAAAAGUUGAUGUUGUUGCCAUCGAAAUAGACGAUGAAUGGAGAGGUUGAAGAAGAGAUCUGAGUCCUCAAAUGGAUAAAAACGAUGGGUUUGUGGUGGAUUCGAGUUGCAUGAAGUUUUGACAGGGUUUUCAAUCCGUGAAAUGAACAAGAAGAUGGUUAACUUCCAUGUGUACAAGGUAAUGAAAAACAGAACAAGUAUAGCAGAGUUUCCUCCAUCAACAGCUUGUGAAAUGCACAUCAACUGUUUGAUAAAAGGCCUAAAUGACCGAAUAUUGUGCCGGUCUAAUUUACAAAUUCUCUGCAGCUAUUAGUGAUGGUUCUUGCGGCUGCUUAUCAAUGGUCAAGAGAGAAAUUCACAUCAACGAGGCAGAGAAGUGGCUGAGGUAUGGUGAUAUGCAAUGGAGAACAUUGUCGCAAUACAUAAGCAAAGGAAACUGUGGAUAAUGAUUUGUGGGUUUAGGCCUACACAAGAGAUUCAUAUUCUCUCUUCACUUCAAAACCCAUGGUCUUUGGUUUACAAGCUUCAUUUGGAGCCAGCUGAUGCAGUUCCCAACUUAGUUGACCAUGAACAUGACAAAUUGAUUCUCAAUGGGAAUCAGUAAAAAAUGUGCUGGGUAUAGUUCUUCCAAUUGAGCAAGUAAACAGAACAACUACAUACUACAAUCUGAUGUGACUCAGCUGGUGACCAGGUACCCUCUUGGUCCUAGUAUAGAUGCGGGACUUACUGAUGCUUCACCAAGUACUACAUUGACCAAUGUGGCCAACAGUGUAGAAAUUGAUCAGCAUUCUUGAAAAAGCUGGGGUCUAACAACCACACCCAAUAUUUCGCUUAGAAAUCUGUAUGGACAAACUCCAAUAUACUUUUUAGAUAAUCAACUAGACAGUCAGACUCAAUCUAGACAAAAAGUAUAUCAAAGGGUUUAUAUCUCAAUCUCUCGAUUUGAUAUAUACUCAAGCAAAUAGGAAUCUGCGAGUCUUUAUCAAAUACUAGAGAGAUAACUUGAAUGGUAUCAAAGACCAAUAUCCAAGUGUCGAUAAAUUUAAAUUAACAAUCAAAAAGUCGGAUAUUCUAAUUGAUUGAACAA